UACGUAGGGUGCAAGCGUUAAUCGGAAUUACUGGGCGUAAAGCGUGCGCAGGCGGUUAUGUAAGACAGAUGUGAAAUCCCCGGGCCUCAACCUGGGAAGCUGCAUUUGUGACUGCAUAGCUAGAGUACGGUAGAGGGGGAUGGAAUUCCGCGUGUAGCAGUGAAAUGCGUAGAUAUGCGGAGGAACACCGGUGGCGAAGGCGGCAUCCUGGACCGGUAUUGACGCGUGAGGCGCGGAAAGCCAGGGGAGCAAACGGG
Molecule: ribosomal RNA, 257 nt
Filed under: uncultured bacterium
Lineage: Bacteria
Description: partial 16S ribosomal RNA
Rfam family: Bacterial small subunit ribosomal RNA
Source: RNAcentral